Molecule: long non-coding RNA, 770 nt
Filed under: Trifolium pratense (red clover)
Lineage: Eukaryota; Viridiplantae; Streptophyta; Magnoliopsida; Fabales; Fabaceae
Description: long non-coding RNA (TPRA_LNC000379)
Source: RNAcentral
UUUAAAACUAAAGUGUUUAUAUUUAAAUCGAUCCAAUUAAAAACGGUAUACCAAUACAAAACAAUACAAAAAACAGUUUCAUGCAUCAAUAUACCAAUUUCUUUUUUUGAAUGGCUAAUAAGAUAUUAUAUAAAAAAUGGAGAAAUAUACAACGAGUACAAGAAAUACUCAGGUCUAAGAGAAGCACAAAGCAAUUAUACAAUAGCCAAAUGCAAAAGAAAAGAAAGAAAAAAAGAUAUAGAGAAAAAAACAUGCUAGGAAAAAUCAUCCAAGCACCCAGAAGCACGAAAACCAAACACCACCACAAAACGCUAUAAGUUUCAACAUAAGACGAGUUCCACCUCCCGGUCAUAGAAGGAGAGCGGCGCCAGACUUCUUACAAAGGAAACAUAUGAUAGAGAAGAUAUUUUAUGUUUAUGAUAUCCCUGAAUGAAGGUGGACAUUGACAAUAUAUUUGGUUAAUUGUAGUUACAUCACAAGUUUGAUGAUGAAGUAGUAACACUAAUACUAAUACUAUUACUAUUACUACUACCACCAUAAUUUGAAGGAAGCAUAAUAUCUUUGAGUUGAGCCCAUCUACCCAACCAUUAUCAAUGACUAGUUGUAAGUAAGGACACACAUGUCUUUUUCUAUGUCAAAGUCUUUAUGAACUAUUAUUAUUCCACAUAUAAAAACAAGGAUUUCUUUCUCUACACUUAAUUGAUGCUUAAAUUGUCUUUCCAUUUAGAACCAUACAAUACACCUAUAUAAGAUUAUUAUAUAUCCCUAUU